UACGAAGGUGGCAAGCGUUGUUCGGAAUCACUGGGCUUAAAGGGCGCGUAGGCGGGCCAGAAAGUGUCUUGUGAAAUCCCACGGCUUAACCGUGGAAUUGCUCGGCAAACUUCUGGUCUUGAGGCAAGUAGGGGUGUGUGGAACUCUUGGUGGAGCGGUGGAAUGCGUAGAUAUCAAGAGGAACGCCGAAGGUGAAGACAGCACACUGGACUUGUACUGACGCUGAGGCGCGAAAGCUAGGGGAGCAAACGGGAUUAGAUACCCUGGUAGU
RNAcentral lists this ribosomal RNA (271 nucleotides) under uncultured prokaryote. Its description in RNAcentral is "partial 16S ribosomal RNA". It matches the Rfam family "Bacterial small subunit ribosomal RNA", at positions 524 to 794 of the family's 1533-position model. The record is from RNAcentral.